GUUUGGGAUGCACUCCACGCCUGUGAGCAAUUAUUAACAUCCGAGCAAGCUCUGCCUUGUUCUUCCUGAGCCGCCGGAGCCAUGGGGAGACGGGGAUAGCCCGAUUACUGCUGAUCCGAAGUUUCACAUCCUCAUCUCUACAGCUAAACUCGACGUAGCUGCCGGGGAGGAAAAGUGGAAGAAAACGCUCAGGUAAGCUUCCAUUGUUUGGCAAUUUCACCAAUCUACCAGCUCAAGGCGCUCCUUUUUGGAUUUGGCUACCUUAUGACAUUCUACCUGUGAUUUUAAAGACACUGAAUUUUACUUUCUUUUCUAUGCCUCCAUAUUUUAUUUAUGUAUCACAUUAUACUUUGUAGUGAGGGAGGAGGGUGAGUUUUGAGUCCCUAAAUUUGUUCCUAAAACAGUAACUGAGGUGAAAAAUCAGAGGCAUUUUCUCUCUCUGCGGAUAGGAAUUAGGCAUUUCCCAAAGUUGCACCCCAUUCUUCAGGUCACCUGAAUACCAUCUGAGAGCAUUGCAAGAGCAGGACCUGGACAGGCCUGUCUGGGUCGGGGAGAGCCCACCUGGACCACAGCGUGGCUCUCUGCAGUUCUAGUUCAUAAUUGGAGGCAGUUCCUUUUUCUCUCAGCACUAGUGACAUUUCUUCGCUGUGGGCACUGUCCUGUGCAUCGUAGAAGGUGCAGGAGCAUCUUCCGGCCCUCCCUACUAGACGCCAGGAGCACCUCCACCCCACCCCACCAGCUGUGAAAACCAAAGGUGUCCAGACUUAGCUGGAUGUCCCUCAAGUGGGGGAGGGGGUCCACACCAUGCUGUGCUUCACUGACCCCCCCAGAACAGCUGGCUGGGUAGCCCUUAACCAACAUAAUUUUAUCAAAGCAUUUUUUAAAUUGCUGGUUGUUAUGGUGACGGGUUUGACCAACAGAGAUUUAAGGAUUCUUUGUCUGGGAGAUAAUUGUAGCCAUUAGCUUCAAGGUCAGCAUUUUCAACAGAGAGGGCCCUGCCCUGGUUUAGCUGACCCUCGCAGAGCAGAAGCCUUGAUGCUGGAGGAGACUUUAGACCAAUCUCAUCUUCUCACGUUUGUGGCUCAGAGAGGUGAAUCCACCCUGCCAAGGUCACAAAGCCAGUGGAGGGAAAACCCUGGCAAGAGAGAGGGAGUGUCAGGACCCAAGCUCAGAGCCCUUUAGUGCAUUCUGAGCAUCUUGGAUCCAAACCAUGGGCACCAUGGUUUGUGGCUCAAAAAUACUCUUUUCAGAAAAAGAAAUGGACACAAUGAAUACUCAUAUAAGCAGGAAUGACUAUAAGAAGAUAGAUUUUGCUAUGACAAAUGUUUUUUCCUUUCUAAGAAGCUUUCAUUUUGCCACAGUUGUUGAAGAAAAUAAUAUUCAUGACCCUCAUUAAAGAACCGUAAGGCAGAUUUUAUUCAGGGGCCAUCCUGACAAGCGUAGGGGCCACAGCACUGGGGUUUUGCAGUAGCGGGGAGAGACUGAGAGGCUCAGCUCUGAACACAAUAAGGACAAGUGGGGAUUCAGAGCCAAGGAGUAGGGUGUGUAUUGGGUGGUGAUGGAUGGGAAGUUACUAGGAGGAAACACAAGACUGGGGGCGUUCUUGCUAGACCAACUCCACGGGAUUCUUGCUAAAGUGAGGCUGAGGUGACAACAUCGAGGGUGGGGGAUUUCCGCUAAAACUGGGCUAAAUGUGGGAAGACAGAGCCUGAGUGUGGGGCCUUGAGGCUUAGAGGAGUCCAACUAGAGCUGAGUCAGGGGGAGGGUCACUGUCACAGCUGUGCAGAGAGCCUGGCCACCCGAAAUGCAGAAAUCCAGAGAAUCAGGCUUGUUUCAGACCCACUGCCACCAAUCAUGAACACGGGUUCCGAUGCUUUGCAAGCUUGUGUGGAAGCACGGCACAUGGAUGGACACCUCCCCUGCAGGGUUACGAUGUUCUCCGCUCAGAUUUAAUGCCAGGACAUUCUCUCCUCCCUCCCUCCCCUCUGAGGGCUCAGUCAUUUCCCUUAGUUCUUAGAAAGAAACAGGCAGAUGAGGGGAAACCUCACCACCACUCCUCUGCUAAUGUCUUUUCAAACUCUGACUUUUUCUUAAUUAAACAAACAAUGAGCAUGCAUUGCUUAUAUGAUAAGGAGAAAAAAGAUAAUGUCAAAAUUGUCCCUCCCCACCUCUUCUGAAAAGUCUUUUCAAUCUUCUUCUCUAAAUACCGCAUGAUGUGGUAUUUCAAAACUCAGCUUCAUCUUUGCGCCGUGGCGAGCAGCUGGACAAGUUACUUAACCUGGCCCUCAGGGAGCCUUGGUUUUCUUGUCUACAAAACACGGGGAAGAAUGCUUGAAAAUGUGCCAGACAAUGUGAGGUCUGAAUGAACCAUUCAGCGUUGGCGCUCGGCCUGGGACCUCACACAGUAAACUUGUCGUUGUCGUUACAUCCUGAGGGACGAGGAGGCAAGCCACCGGGUUGGAGGCACAGGUGUCUCCUCUGGGAUGAGAGUCACGUGGGUCCCACGGGAGCAGGAAGCAGGCGGCAUUGCAUUCCAAGUUCUCUCAAGUCCACUUGGAUAUUUAUCACCAGUUACACCUGUAAUUUUUGAAAAAACGAUUGCGUUUAUCACUAUGCUUUGAAGAUGGCGGAGUGGAAAGACAGGAUCCUUGAAUAUCUAAAUCCAAUCUUUGGAAUAUUAAAUCUAAAACCUAAAUGAGACAUCAGAAAAAUAACCAAAUUUGAAUGUGAGGGUACCUUCUUCCUAAUGUGCUGAACACAUCUAAUAAGUUUACAAUAUUCUAUUUUCAAAGGGCGUUCAUUAUUUUUUUAUUUUUAUUUUUUUUGAGGAAAAUCAGCCCUGAGCUACUUACUGCCAAUCCUCCUCUUUUUGCUGAAGAAGACUGGCCCUGAGCUAACAUCCGUGCCCGUCUUCCCCUACUUUAUAUGUGGGAUGCCUCCCACAGCAUGGCUUGACAAGCAGUGCCUAGAUCUGUGCCUAGUAUCCAGACUGGCAAACCCUGGGCCACCAAAGCAGAGCGUGUGAACUUAACCAGAGCAUGUGAACUUAACUGCUACUCCAGUGGGCCGGCUCCUCCAUCAUAUUUUUAAUUCAAUUCAUUUUGUUUUUAAUGAGGUAGGGUAAAGGAAUUGGUAUUGACAAAUAAAAAUGGCAAGCAAUAGGAUAUAUUGGAGAAUAUGAGGAAGCCAUUUUGUGUAAACCUAAUUCGGCCUGACCUUGUCUUUCCAAAAGGGCCUGACCGAGGCCGUUGAGCAUGCAUUGUAUAUCUGCUUUAGAUAUUCCCUAUGGCAAGAACAAAGGCCCUUGAGAUAAAGGUGCAACUUCCCUCCCCCUCCCAACGUUGGCAUUCCCUUAAGGAUCAAGCAUCUUUCCUUAGGCUAGAAGCUGAUUGCUGCGCUCACCUGUGACCACCCAGCUCAAGACAAUAGACUUGCCUCCUGCUACGCCCUCCUCGCCCUCCGAGAUAGCAGACCCACUACCUGCUGUGUCCAUCAAGCGCUGUGCUGACAGGGCAAUCUUGUGACUAUUGUGGGAGGGACAUUUCAAUCAUAUGUGAAACGUCCUGUAUGGGGGUAUACAACUACUCUGUAUACCUCACUUCUUUGGUGCCCUUUCUUCCUUCGGGAAGAAAGGCCCCGGGCCAUGGUCCUCAGAUUUCAGCUCAGAAUAAACUCACCCAAAUUUUCAUUUAUAGAUUGGUUAUGGAUUAUUUUCGUUGACAGUAUUUUAUCUUUUAUUUUUUUGGGUGAGGAAGAUUGUCACCGAGCUAACACCUGUCACCAAUCCUCCUCUUUUUGCUCAAGGAAGAUUUUCACUGAGCUACAUCUAUCGCAAUCUUCCUCUGUUUUUUGCAUGUGGGACACUGCCACAGUAUGGCUUGAUGCACAGUGUGUAGGUCCGUGCCCAGGAUCUGGGCCCGUGAACCCUGGGCCACUGAAGCAGAGGGCAUGAACUCAGCCACUAUGCCACCGAGCUGGCUCCAAUACAAUGCACUUUCGAGCGCCUCUCACAGAGUUGGCCUGGGGGUGGUGCAGGCAGCGUGGAUAAAGAUGACUUCCGUCCAGAUACUUCUCAUUCCUUGCCUCAUCUGUCCUUUCAACAAUACUUAUUGGUCACCAAUGUGUGCCAGGUACUUUUCCCAGUGCUGAACAAGACCAAUUCCUGCUCUCAUGCAGCUGGCAGUAUAGUCAGAAGACAUAGAAAAUAAAGAAAUAACUAGAACAAACCCAUAAAAAUACAGCAUGUCUGGUGGUGACAAGUGCCGUAAAGAGAAGCCUUUGGAGUGAGAUCCUUGGGCCAGGGCCCUGCUGCAUGGUGACGCAUGAGUAGUCCUGGGCCAGCACAGCAACCGAGCCCCAACAGGUAAGCGCCCCAGGAAAUCUCAGAGCACCCUCCCAGGUGUUACUUCCACAUUUCACAACUGAGGCCGGGCCUCGCAGGUCAAGCAGAUGCACACCCAGGGCUCGCGGCUGGUGGCUCUGGAGCCCAGGUCCAUCUGACUCCAAAGCCACAUUUUUCCACUCUAGGCAAGGCUGCUCCUGGCUCUCCAAAGCCUGGUGUCUACACUCAAAAACAGAACCCCCCAGUUCUAGGUUCCUUGACUCCAUCUUCCCUGUGCUGGUCCUUCCACAGAAUGCUCCCACGCCAGAGGUUUCCAUCCGGAAAGUGGAGACACCGCCUCACUCCUGAAAACCAGUUCACAGUUCAUGAAGCUGUUUCAGCUGCAUUACCUCACAAUUAAUUUGUUUUUUAAAUAACGUGUGCUGAAUGCCGACGUAACGCCAGCUGCUGUUCCAGCUCGUAGCAUCUAAUUCUCUCCACCAUGUGGAGUGGGCAGUGCAUAUUUCCAUUUUACAGACUCGGAUCCUGAGGGCCAGGACAGGGGCCACGGGCUAGGAGAGAGGCGCCUGCUGACCAGGGAUCCAUACAAAAUGAGACCACCCCCCUCGAGUGCUUUGAAAGCCAUACCCCAGUGCAAACAUGUCCAACCUCCUUUUCCAGGGUCCUGGGAAGACUAAAGGGGCUGCUUGAGAGGGAAGAACUCCCGGAAAUGUUAGUGGCUGCUGUCUCUCCAUCACUCUGUGAUUUUCAGGGAGCUUGACAUCACGGGCUGUCAGGACUGACAGCCUGCUUAUGGCUGGGUCAGGAGGGUUUACUGGCUUUGCAGAAAGCAGAACCUAGAAACCGGGGUUGGGAGAAGUUAGGUCAUUUGCCUAAGGCCACAGGGUGGUUUGGGAAGUGAAACUAUACAUUCAAUGCUCGACAUCUCCAGAGGCUUGGUGGCCUUGGAUGGCCGACUUAUUUUUCCAAGGAGCCCUGGGUUCUGAGGGCUGAGUCACCGUGAUUGGUCACUGCGCAGGGCUGGGCAGACCGGCCUGCAGCUGGGCCUUCACAGGCUGGGC
RNAcentral lists this long non-coding RNA (5403 nucleotides) under Equus caballus (horse). RNAcentral describes it as "lncRNA (ENSECAG00000055050.1)". The record is from RNAcentral. Lineage: Eukaryota; Metazoa; Chordata; Mammalia; Perissodactyla; Equidae.